RNAcentral lists this ribosomal RNA (553 nucleotides) under uncultured archaeon. RNAcentral's name for it is "bacterial SSU rRNA". It matches the Rfam family "Archaeal small subunit ribosomal RNA", at positions 326 to 879 of the family's 1478-position model. The record is from RNAcentral.
CGGGGUGCAGCAGGCGCGAAAACUUUACCAUGCUGGAAACAGCGAUAAGGGGACCUCGAGUGCCAGGUUACAAAUCUGGCUGUCGUGAUGCCUAAAAAGCAUUGCAUAGCAAGGGCCGGGCAAGACCGGUGCCAGCCGCCGCGGUAACACCGGCGGCUCGAGUGGUAACCGUUAUUAUUGGGUCUAAAGGGUCUGUAGCCGGCCGGAUAAGUCUCUUGGGAAAUCCAGCAGCUCAACUGUUGGGCUUUCAGGAGAUACUGUCUGGCUCGAGGCCGGGAGAGGUGAGAGGUACUUCAGGGGUAGGGGUGAAAUCUUGUAAUCCUUGAAGGACCACCAGUGGCGAAGGCGUCUCACCAGAACGGACCUGACGGCAAGGGACGAAAGCUAGGGGCACGAACCGGAUUAGAUACCCGGGUAGUCCUAGCCGUAAACGAUACUCGCUAGGUGUCGGCCACGGUGCGACCGUUGUCGGUGCCGUAGGGAAGCCGUGAAGCGAGCCACCUGGGAAGUACGGCCGCAAGGCUGAAACUUAAAGGAAUUGGCGGGGGAGCAC